CUUUAAUCCAAGACGAACAUCAGUGCAUUUAAGAGCAUUAGCAGUGCUUCUGAUUUUAAUAUCUUUCUGAUCCCCUUGAGAGAAUGUAUCAUUCUUUUCUUAUGCUGUGUUCUAUUCUAUGUACUAGAGUGGCCUUUGUGGUUCAGUCAUGAAGGUUAGUGCAGGUUAAUAAAGGAAGAUAUGCACAGAAUCACAGGGAUUGCUGGUCACAGGAUGAUGGGGACCAGUAAAAUCUCAUGGGAAAGACUGAACAGGGCUGCCGACAUUUUCUUUUUAUCCCACAUUAAUGAGCUGUUGUUAAUCCAACCUGCUUGUUAUUCUGAUGCUUGCACUGCACUUUUACCUCAAGUACACUGUAUCUUUAUAGUAAAUAUUUUUGAUGUAUUGAUUUUUACAGGUGUAAAGAUAAGCACCGUCAUUCUGAUGAGAAAAGUGAUCACUAUCUAUCCCAAAAAGGCAGUGGAAAGGCCCGCAUGCUGUAUUUGAAGGCUUUCGGCUGGCACUGGCUGUCAGUUUCCUCGCUUGUCUACCUGUCUGUGUGUGCUGUUAGUUUAGCACAAGAUGGCAUCCUGAGUGUGUGGACGGGUGAAGCCAAAGAAGUUCAAGGCCUGGAAGGGUGGAGAGAGCUCCGAAACUCACGACUGUCUGCGUACGCACUGCUCGGACUCCUGCAAGGUUAUUGUCAACCUGUGACUUCUUAUUUGAGAAUGUGUAUUUGUUAACUUAUAUGCUCUUGUAUUGCAGCCUUCCUCGUGUGCUGUGCCGCCUACAGUCUGACCUGCGCCUCUCUCAGGGCUUCUCAUACACUGCACUCAAAGCUUCUGUCAGAUGUUCUUCACAUGCCUAUGCAUUCUCAGAAGACUGACAUGAGAUGGCUACUGCAAGUAUUCACUCAGGUGAGUGUUGUCCUCCAGGAGGCGGUGUGGAGCAUAGUUCAAAACAAGUGAACUGAAAAAAGGCAUGUUUGAUUCCAGCAUGUAGCAGGUCAUCACUGUUGCGCCCUCGAGGAAGUAUAUAUUAUAUAACAGAUGUAAGCAAAUAUGAUGGAAAACCAAGAUAGAUCUUCCUUA
This 1070-nucleotide long non-coding RNA is filed under the name Sinocyclocheilus grahami. RNAcentral describes it as "lncRNA (ENSSGRG00000002127.1)". Lineage: Eukaryota; Metazoa; Chordata; Actinopteri; Cypriniformes; Cyprinidae. The record is from RNAcentral.